Molecule: RNase P RNA, 396 nt
Filed under: uncultured Butyrivibrio sp.
Lineage: Bacteria; Bacillati; Bacillota; Clostridia; Lachnospirales; Lachnospiraceae
Description: Bacterial RNase P class A
Rfam family: Bacterial RNase P class A
About the family: Ribonuclease P (RNase P) is a ubiquitous endoribonuclease, found in archaea, bacteria and eukarya as well as chloroplasts and mitochondria. Its best characterised activity is the generation of mature 5'-ends of tRNAs by cleaving the 5'-leader elements of precursor-tRNAs. Cellular RNase Ps are ribonucleoproteins.
Source: RNAcentral
AUGAUCGCGGCCGCAAGUCCCGAAAGGGUGCGGGUGAGGAAAGUCCGGGCUUCAUAGAGCAGGAUACCGGCUAACGGCCGGCGGAGGCAACUCCCGGGAAAGUGCAACAGAAAUAAACCGCUAACACGCAGUUAAUGCUUCUUAUGAAGAAGUAUCUGUAGCUUGCAUUUUUGAUUUUAUCUAAUUUGCAAGGUUAGUAAGGGUGGAAAGGCAGUGUAAGAGACUACCGUGCCGAUGGUAACAUCGGUAGCCAUGUAAACCCUAUCCGAAGCAAGACCGAAUAGAAAGCGUUGACCCUGCUCGGUGAGCUUUCAGGUGGGUCGCUUGAAACGGCUGGUAACAGACGUGCUAGAUAGAUGAUCAUUCUCGACAUAACCCGGCUUAUAGUCCUUCUCA